GUCACGGCUGCAGUGAACCAUGAGUGUGCCACUGCACUCCAGCUGGGGCAACAGAGCGAGCGCGUGUCUUGAAAAACAAAACAAAACAAAACAAAACAAAUGACUACUUAAUAAAAAUAUAGCCAAUGAUGGGCAAAUGUAUAUAUAAAAUGAAAAUUAAAAACUUUUUUUCUUAUGUAUUUAAAAACUUUUUCCCCCUAGAAUCAGAACUACAAGGAUCAAUUAUCCCAGCUCAAUGUCAGGGUUCUUCAACUGGGACAGGAGUCUUCUACCCACCAGGCCCUAAAUGAGGAGCAUCGUGUGACCAUUCAGCUGUUAACACAGAGCCUGGAAGAGGUGGUACACAGCGGGCAGCAGCAGAGUGACCAAAUCCAGAAAUUUAGAGUUGAACUUGAAUGCCUGAAUCAGGAACAUCAGAGCCUGCCGCUGCCACAGUCAGAGCUGACCCAGACCCUUGAGGAACGUCAAGGCCAGGUGCAGGGAGCUCACCUGAGGCUGAGGCAGGCCCAGGCCCAACACUUGCAGGAGGUCCGGCAGCUGCAGGACUGUGUGGCCGAGCUGCAGCACCUGCUCAGCCUUCAGGGAGAGCAGGCCGGGAGGCGCCUGGAUGCACAGCGGGAAGAACAUGAGAAACAGCUGAAAGCUACAGAAGAGCGGGUGGAAGAGGCGGAGAUGAUUCUGAAGAAUAUGGAAAUGCUCCUCCAAGAGAAAGUGGAUAAGCUGAAGGAACAG
Molecule: small RNA, 732 nt
Filed under: Pongo abelii (Sumatran orangutan)
Lineage: Eukaryota; Metazoa; Chordata; Mammalia; Primates; Hominidae
Description: processed transcript
Source: RNAcentral